This is a long non-coding RNA of Jatropha curcas, 1816 nucleotides long. RefSeq lists it as uncharacterized. The record is from RefSeq and is a predicted model, not a curated record. Lineage: Eukaryota; Viridiplantae; Streptophyta; Magnoliopsida; Malpighiales; Euphorbiaceae.
AUUUGUUCUUUUUGUUAGAAAAGGUAGCUAUCCAAACGCCAUUCCAAGGAAAAGCAGGAGCGAGAUUGCAAAGCAGAGCGGCUCGAUUCUUCAUCUGUCGCCGAUGCCGGAGUUCCUGAUGCCGCGCACCAAGUAGCAAGCCCCCGGGCUUCCCGCCGGUUCAGCUCUGGUGGAGCUACGUCCUGCCUAGCCCUUGCCGUCUGAGUCGCGCGACAGUUCCGGAGACGGAGACGUGUCGCAAUCUCCAUCGCCAUCAACGGGUACGGCGCUCGCCCCCUUACCUCUCAACACCGCACGUCCCACCGGUCAUGUCGCGACCAUCGCUCGACUCAGGCGACAGAAGCCCAAAUCGGUUCUGCCUCCUCCUCCUUCUCGGAGACAGACCAGUUCCCAAACCCAGAAGACAAGGGAACUUGCGGAAACUGCCAUAGCGCUAAAGAAGCGGGCCUCGCGACCCGAGUUGAUAGAUGAGUCUGAUUCCGCUAAAAUUCCACCUCCAUGCCACUUAUCCGAGUCUGACAGUGGCCAAGAGCCGGCCGUUGGUGCCCAUACCGACGCGGCGCAGCCUGUCUCAAGCGCUGACGAGGGGAAUGAGCAUGCUCCACCUAAAGGCCGAGCUAGGAUAUGGAAAGGGAAGAGCAAGUACCCGCCUGGCGCUGCUGGCUUGAACGGAACACUGGAUUUCGUUGUCCUAGCGCAAAAGAAAAGGAUUACUAUGCUGUGAGGAAGGUGGCAUUUUUGUUUUUGCUCCUGCUGGUCCUGUUAUCCCACGACAUGAGCACGUCUUCCGCAAAAGAAAGGUCAAUGCAGCUGCUCCAUCAACAUCAGCUCCUCUUGACACUUCCCCUAUGGCUUCCACGUCUUUGGCAUCCUGAAUUGAUCGUUUGGAAGUAAAGAUCAAUUUUCUCACCUCCACAGUCACUGAAAUCAACACUGCCCUGCAGGCCAUCUCACGACAUUUGGGGUUUUCUCAACCCCCACCACUAACUUAGCACAGGCAGCGACAACCUCCUCCACAGGGACGUUUCUCAUCCUUUCUCUUUAGUUUUUCUUUCAUUUAUUUAGUUAGGAACUCCUUUUGCUUGAUUGAUAUUCCACAUUGAGGACAAUGUGAGGAGUAAGUGUGGGGGAGGAGUCUGAUUUUGGAAGUGCUUUAUUUGUUUAUUUUCUGUUUAUAUUUUGUGAAGCACUGGAUUUUUUUGAGCAUUUUGUCCAUAUUCUUAAACCUGAUUUAGAUAUUUCGUUUAGCAAGUGCUCUUAAAAAUUAAUAAAUUUUAGUUCUUAUCCUAUGGAAAUUUUGAUUGUUUGAUGUGUACAUGAAAAGUUUUAUUUCAAAAUUUGUACAUGAAAAGUUUUAUUUCAAAAUUUCACUCUUGCCUUAACUUGAUCAAUAUUUUCUUUUGACCUCUUGAGAGAAGUUCUUUGUGCUUAAACUGAGUUCUCUGUGUUAGAUUGAAUUUUUGAGAUUUUAGGCAAGGUACUAGUUAUCUUUAUUAUAGACCCCCUUUUUCUCCAUCCUGUAAAUAGCAUUCCUUAAUCAUUCUCUUUUGUGUGAAUCAUUUAGGCUUGAGUUAAUAGGUGAAAUUGCCAAUUUGCUUGCGCUUAAUUCAUUGUUGUGCACAUUUCAAAACUUUGUUUAACCUGUCUGAGGCAUUACUCCUGGUAUAUGGCUGCAUGUUUUGGAAGGAUGGAAGGUGCAAAUUGCGCAAAGCGAUAAUGUAAAAGGUGAGGAAUAAAAGAGAACGAAAUAAGCGGUAAUGCACAUGAGUUCUCUAAAGUUUGCAAACAAAAUAAAUAAAAAAAAAAAAAAAAAAAA